CCGGUGGCUCCUAGGGCGUCACUCGGCCUCUGUCCCCCUGAAGAUCCCCCUGCAACUCCUCCACCGCGGACCAGAGACCCCCCUCUCUGGCUGGCAGACACGGGUGGCUUGUGCCGGCUGGUUUGAAGUACAGGUCAACUAGGAAUACCAAAGGAUUCUACCUGGGACGACAACAAGACAGGACUAGAAUGACUUCAGGAACCCAUCAAAUCACCUCCACGGAGUUGCAAAAUGCUACCACAACACCAACCUGACUUCCCUGGGCAGACAACCUCACCAAUGUGCCCUGGAACCUCACCUUCCCAGAGUCCUAGUCCAUCAAGGCAAGAUAAAAACAGGUGUGGGGGGGUAUGGAUUGAACUGCCAAUGCCAAUGUACAAUAAUAGAAGUCAGAGCUCUCAUCUUCUGCACCCCACAAAGAAUUUUGGUCCAUAAUUCUAUAUGGAUUAAUAAUAGGGAACUUUCCAGUGGAGGAGGUGGGACACACAACUCGUGGUAGGAAUUGUAUGGAAUUGUACCCCUUUUAUCCUGCAAUCUUGUUGAUCAUUAUUAAAUCACUAAUAAAAAGUGUGGAGACUAUAUACACAAGAAGGCUUUUCCAUACAUAAAGUAUUGCUUUCCCUUCCAGCAAUUAUGCAAGUAAUUGUUGAUUAUGAAGCCACAUUGUGGGGCCUGCUUACUAUGUGGCACAAUGGCAGUUAGUGCCAUUGAUGAAAAUCCAAAUAUGAACAAUAGUCAAUAGUCAAACCUUUGGCAUGCUUCCACAAAUUAACCUGAACUUGAAGCAUCAUCAGUAGUUGACCAUUUGGCUUUAUCUUUCUAAUGAAGAUGCUUGAGAUGAAAGCAAAACUUUUGAGAUGUGGAGGUUAUUAUUAAUCUCAUUUUACAUAUAUGAAAACUAAGGCUCAAACAUGUAGAUUAGGAAUAAUAUGUAGUAAAAGCCAGGUUUUGCAAUAAGAUCAAACUUAGUAUAUAACCCAAAGCCUUUUUCAUUCUGGUACAUACAGAAAACUUCUAGUCCUUUACCUAGGCUUUUUCUUCCAUUUCCAUUUAUUUUUAUUAUCUAUUUAUUUAUUUAUUGGAUAGCAACAGCCAAAAAUUGGGAGGGAAAGGGGUGAUAGACAGGGAGAGAGACAGAAAGACACCUGCAACACUG
Molecule: long non-coding RNA, 1156 nt
Organism: Erinaceus europaeus (western European hedgehog)
Lineage: Eukaryota; Metazoa; Chordata; Mammalia; Eulipotyphla; Erinaceidae
Exons: 3
Source: RefSeq, a predicted model, not a curated record